ACAUGCAAGUCGAACGCUUUUUCUUUCACCGGAGCUUGCUCCACCGAAAGAAAAAGAGUGGCGAACGGGUGAGUAACACGUGGGUAACCUGCCCAUCAGAAGGGGAUAACACUUGGAAACAGGUGCUAAUACCGUAUAACAAGUAAAACCGCAUGGUUUUACUUUGAAAGGCGCUUUUGCGUCACUGAUGGAUGGACCCGCGGUGCAUUAGCUAGUUGGUGAGGUAACGGCUCACCAAGGCAACGAUGCAUAGCCGACCUGAGAGGGUGAUCGGCCACAUUGGGACUGAGACACGGCCCAAACUCCUACGGGAGGCAGCAGUAGGGAAUCUUCGGCAAUGGACGAAAGUCUGACCGAGCAACGCCGCGUGAGUGAAGAAGGUUUUCGGAUCGUAAAACUCUGUUGUUAGAGAAGAACAAGGAUGAGAGUAAAAAGUUCAUCCCUUGACGGUAUCUAACCAGAAAGCCACGGCUAACUACGUGCCAGCAGCCGCGGUAAUACGUAGGUGGCAAGCGUUGUCCGGAUUUAUUGGGCGUAAAGCGAGCGCAGGCGGUUUCUUAAGUCUGAUGUGAAAGCCCCCGGCUCAACCGGGGAGGGUCAUUGGAAACUGGGAAACUUGAGUGCAGAAGAGGAGAGUGGAAUUCCAUGUGUAGCGGUGAAAUGCGUAGAUAUAUGGAGGAACACCAGUGGCGAAGGCGGCUCUCUGGUCUGUAACUGACGCUGAGGCUCGAAAGCGUGGGGAGCAAACAGGAUUAGAUACCCUGGUAGUCCACGCCGUAAACGAUGAGUGCUAAGUGUUGGAGGGUUUCCGCCCUUCAGUGCUGCAGCUAACGCAUUAAGCACUCCGCCUGGGGAGUACGACCGCAAGGUUGAAACUCAAAGGAAUUGACGGGGGCCCGCACAAGCGGUGGAGCAU
RNAcentral lists this ribosomal RNA (916 nucleotides) under Enterococcus sp. 174B7_12AGalle. RNAcentral describes it as "bacterial SSU rRNA". It matches the Rfam family "Bacterial small subunit ribosomal RNA", at positions 53 to 940 of the family's 1533-position model. Lineage: Bacteria; Bacillati; Bacillota; Bacilli; Lactobacillales; Enterococcaceae. The record is from RNAcentral.